UGCAACCAUGGCUGUAUGGGUCUGGGUUAUGAGGUGUGUGUUUAUGGCUGUAUUGGUCUGGGUUAUGAGGUGUGUGUUUAUGGCUGUAUGGGUCUGGGUUAUGAGGUGUGUGUUUAUGGCUGUAUUGGUCUGGGUUAUGAGGUGUGUGUUUAUGGCUGUAUUGGUCUGGGUUAUGAGGUGUGUGUUUAUGGCUGUAUUGGUCUGGGUUAUGAGGUGUGUGUUUAUGGCUGUAUGGGUCUGGGUUAUGAGGUGUGUGUUUAUGGCUGUAUGGGUCUGGGUUAUGAGGUGUGUGUUUAUGGCUGUAUGGGUCUGGGUUAUGAGGUGUGUAACCAUGGCUGUAUGGGUCUGGGUUAUGAGGUGUGUGUUUAUGGCUGUAUGGGUCUGGGUUAUGAGGUGUGCAACCAUGGCUGUAUGGGUCUGGGUUAUGAGGUGUGUGUUUAUGGCUGUAUUGGUCUGGGUUAUGAGGUGUGUGUUUAUGGCUGUAUUGGUCUGGGUUAUGUGGUGUGUGUUUAUGGCUGUAUUGGUCUGGGUUAUGAGGUGUGUGUUUAUGGCUGUAUGGGUCUGGGUUAUGAGGUGUGUGUUUAUGGCUGUAUUGGUCUGGGUUAUGAGGUGUGUGUUUAUGGCUGUAUUGGUCUGGGUUAUGUGGUGUGUGUUUAUGGCUGUAUUGGUCUGGGUUAUGAGGUGUGUGUUUAUGGCUGUAUUGGUCUGGGUUAUGAGGUGUGUGUUUAUGGCUGUAUUGGUCUGGGAUAUGAGGUGUGUGUUUAUGGCUUUUUGGAAGUUGGAGAAUUUUGCCUGUAACACCCUAAACAGCUUCUAGAGCCAUAAUCAUUAUGCCUAAUUCUAUCAACCCCAAGGAAAUCUAUGCAUAUUUUUCUGCAUAGGUUAUAUUUAAGCAAUAAGGCCAGAGGGAGUGUGGUAUAUGGCCAAUGUACCUGGAUACAGCCCUUAGCCGUGGCAUAUUGCCCAUAUACCACAAACCCCUGAGGUGCCUUAUUGCUAUUAUAAACUGGUUACCAACGUAAUUAGAGCAGUACAAAUAUUUUUGGGUCAUACCCAUGGUGGCUUUCAGCCAAUCAGCAUUCAGGGCUCGAACCAGCCAGUUUAUAAUAGCUAAGAUAGUUGGUCAAGCUACUCUAACUUGAUUGAUAGCCUAAAAUGACUUGUUAGCUGGAUAUGAGGUUGGAAGAUUGGGAACCUUUCUAGCUGGUUAGCUAAAGACAACUUUAUAAAAUUGCUUAGUGGCUAGUAUUACAGAGAAACCACAAAACAUUUGAGUUUUCUUUAUUCAUCAAGAAGUAAUCAAAUGGCUACAGAGCUUGAUCACAUUCAUGAGCCCAUUACCAGAAGCUAAAAUCAAAUCAAAUGCUGUGUGUGUCGCUCUACUCUCUCUCUCUCUCUCCAGUCAGGGUGCCCCCUCUAAUUAUGAUAAAACGUGGGUUAUUAAUUUAACAUCUGACAAAAAAACAGGACAAAUCUGACAGGGCACGUGCCAUUGUGCCUCUAUGUGCAUGACGACACUGUGUGUGUGAUCUUGGCUCCUGGCCCUCGUAGACAAACCUGUGUGUUAGCAUGCUGGUCACAUAUCUCAUCUCAGACACCCCCUCCCCGUGCACACACACACACACACACACACACACACACACACACACACACACACACACACACACACACACACACACACACACACACACACACACACACACACACACACACACACACACACACACACACACACACACACACACACAGACAGCUCUGUAUUACGACCCAGCAGGCACAUCUACCUGCACAGGAAGGAGGGAGGAAAGGAGGGUGGAAGGAUGAAAGGAGAGAAGGAAAGAUGGAGUGAAAUAAUCAUCUUCCAUUUUUUUCCAUACAUAUCUUGGUGUGGAUUUGGUGAGGACGAUGGCAAUGGCAGAAAAUUACAUUAAAUUAAAAAGUGCCCAAUCUUCAAUCAAGUCCUCCCCAAUACCCCCGUGGAUAUUUUAUAUUGUACAUAUUCAAUCCUUUUCUAUACUUUAUAUAUGCUUCUCCUUCCAUGACAUAGACUGACCAGGUGAUCCAGAUGAAAGCUAUGAUACCUGAUUGAUAUCACUUGUAAUAUCCACUUCAAUCAGUGUAGAUGAAGGGGAGGAGACAGGUUAAAGAAGGAUUUUUAAGCCUUGAGACAACUGAAACAUGGAUUGUGUAUGUGUGCCAUUCAGAGGAUGAAUAGGCAAGACAAAAUAUUUAAGUACAUUUGAACAGGGUAUGGUAUUGGGUGCCAGGCACACCAGUUUGUGUCAAGAACUGCAACGCUGCUAGGUUUUUCACACUCAACAGUUUCCCGUGUGUAUCAAGAAUGGUCCACCACCCAAAGGACAUCCAGCCAACUUGACACAACUGUGGGAAGCAUUGGAGUCAACAUGGGCCAGCAUCCCUGUGGAAAGCUUUUGACACUUUGUAGAGUCCAUGCCCCGACAAAUUUAGGUGUUUCUUAAUGUUUGGUAUACUCAGUGUAUACUCAGUGUAUAAUCCUUCCAGAUCAAGACAGUUCCUCUGCCCAGAAGGGGAAGCAUGCCAUACAGAACUCUGCCACCCGAUGGCAGUAGUACUCUAUAGUAUUCCACAAUGAGAGUGAAGCCUGUCCUCUUUGCCUUUACAUAAUGGUAAUUAUGAAUAAGCUAGAAACCCUCAGUCAACACUAUCUGACCAUGCUAGAAAGAAUCAACGUUCUUAGUAAAGUUGUUUUACCUUCCUUAGUAACCCUUUAACGUUUAACUCAUAUUUGGUUGUUAUUUAUGAUAAUGUUACACACACACACUUUGGAUUCAUGGUUCAGGGAAUGGAGAGGCGGGAGAAAGAAAAAGCAUGCACCCCCCUCUCUUUCUCUCCCCCUCCCUCUCUUUCUCCCCCCCUCCCUCUCUUUCUCUCCCCCACCCCUCUUUUUGGAAGUAAUAUAGGUACAGUUUAAACUGAAUGGUGUGUGUCACCAACUCUAGAUUAGGGAAGAGAUUUCCUCUCUCUCUGUCUUUCUCUUCUAACCCAGCGGAAGGUGGAAUAAUCUUUUUGUCAUUCCAGAAUGCAUUUAGAACCGCUACUGUUUAUGAAAAGAAAAAAACAACCAAAGAUUGAUGUCUGUCUGUGUUUUCCUCUCCCUCUGGCACCUUAACUCCCGUGGUGGUAUUACCUACAGUAUAUGAAGAAGGAAUCAUACAAACAGG
This 3203-nucleotide long non-coding RNA is filed under the name Salmo salar (Atlantic salmon). Its description in RNAcentral is "lncRNA (ENSSSAG00000100273.1)". The record is from RNAcentral. Lineage: Eukaryota; Metazoa; Chordata; Actinopteri; Salmoniformes; Salmonidae.